Molecule: transfer RNA, 72 nt
Filed under: Marmota marmota marmota (Alpine marmot)
Lineage: Eukaryota; Metazoa; Chordata; Mammalia; Rodentia; Sciuridae
Also listed under: 2 other names
Rfam family: tRNA
About the family: Transfer RNA (tRNA) molecules are approximately 80 nucleotides in length.
Source: Rfam by way of RNAcentral
GGAGAUGUAGCUCAAUGGUAGAGCACUUGCCUAGCCUGUAUGAAAUCAUGGGUUCAAUCUUCAGUACCUCCC